This is a long non-coding RNA of Hydractinia symbiolongicarpus, 2148 nucleotides long. RefSeq lists it as uncharacterized. The transcript has 2 exons. The record is from RefSeq and is a predicted model, not a curated record. NCBI's taxonomy places the organism in Eukaryota, Metazoa, Cnidaria, Hydrozoa, Anthoathecata, Hydractiniidae.
AUGGGCGCGAUUAUUAACGAGGAUGGUUAUAGAGCUGCAUCAGCAACAAAAACAACACAUUUUCGCAUGAAUUUUAGAUAUUUUAAAUAAAAUAUCCCAUGAAUAAGAACAAAAAGGGGCUGAAUUCCAACUUUGUUCCUUUAUUUUCCUUUGCUUUUCUAUCGAAGUGGAUUAUUCAACGGGCUUAUGAUAUAGGUUGUUGUUUUUGUCCUCAGUGACCAUAAACUUUUCUACCGCUAUUAGCUCGACUUUCGUGUAAGUCACUAACGUUGAAAACCAACAACCGUUGCGUAGCUCCUUUAAGAAAAUUAAUUUCUAUUUUAUGUUAACAAUUGUUGUUUGUUUACGAAUGCAAGAUUAAUUGGCCUUCAUCAUCAUCAGAUGCGUCAUUAAUUAAUUAGCAUUCUUUUUAUUUUGUAGGCUGGACAAAACAAUAUGGCGCUUCAUCGUGCGUCAAAGAUACGCUGCUGUGUUACUCAAAAAAGGAAAAUUCCUUCGUCAUUGGAAGUUCCCUUGUUUCUGAGUACCUUUAGUUAGACUGAAGUAAUACAGCAUACUCGCGAUAACUAGGACCCUCGAAGGCCUGAAAAAAUCGGUUCCAGUAAGCUAAAGCCAGAUCUAAGAUGAUAAGACUCAUGCAUAGUCUGCUACUUACACCUGCCAUUUUUUUCUGUUUCUGAUACAUAUACAUAUAUAUACCAUUGUAGGAAUUUGUGCUUGUACUUACAUAUGUAGAACUUUUAUCUGUUAUCUUGUUAUGGUUGUAAGUUAUUAUUUUGGAGACCAGGGUCCAUUUAAGCCAAGUUUUCUAGUUGCGUUUAGCAAAGAAAUCCAACGGAUCGCGAAAUUAAGCUCCAAUUCGUACUUACCCAGGCUCUUCCUUAUAUAUUCGCGCGAUCUAAUUUUGCACAUCCCAAGUAGAGGCACCCUGACACCUAAAAAUGCCGCUUUAAACAAAAAUCUCUUUCGAAGGAAAUAACAAUCGUCGGUGAGCAAAUUACCAUGAAGCACACAAAGUUAUAUCAAAUUCAUAAAUACAAUUUUAUAUUUGAUUCCUGUGAUCUUUAAAUCUUUACUCUCCGCGAAGGCAUUUCAUUGUUGUGGUUGCUGUGGGACAGAUGACUUUUCUUGUGAAAUAUGGACCUCCCUCCCAACACGCUUUAAACACGUCUGUCAAAUUAUUAACAUGUUUCAAAUCAUCGGCAUUUUAUUGAUAUAUUAACUCCUAAUCCGAUAUACAAUACCAUCUGCAUGUUUCUUCCGUAUUAAACAUAAAUAAAUAAGUAAAUCUACGCGCGCUUGCGUUGAUCUGCUGACUCAUCAUUUAUACACCGCUGUUUUUUGUUUCCGAUAUUUCGUUUAUUUAUUUAUUUUUCUUUCAAUUGUUAUGUUAAAGUAACACCUGAACGUUUUUACCGCUUCACAAUGCACAAUACAUUUGAUAUCAAAGUAGGCGUAGAUAUCAUCGCAACCUCGUGCCAAAGGCUUGUUAGGUUUAAUCAGUUCCGUCCCACCAGAAAAACCGAACAAGCCCUACGGACAAGGUGGAUCUUAUCUAACCUGAAACAGAUUUAACAAAACAUUCGGCGAGUUCAUACAAUUAUCUUUUAAAGAGAUUUAUGUUUUUAUAGAGAAUCCGAAAUUUUUAGCACAUUUAAAAAUAACGGUCUUGGCAAUUUACGUAAGAGUAAAAACGCAUUGCCAAAUAUUUCGCACGGUAAUGAGAAAAUGUUAUAAAAUGGAAAUUAUAUGCUCGACAAUACUUUCAACGCUGGACAAAACAAUAUGGCGCUUCAUCGUGCGUCAAAGAUACGCUGCUGUGUUACUCAAAAAAGGAAAAUUCCUUCGUCAUUGGAAGUUCCCUUGUUUCUGAGUACCUUUAGUUAGACUGAAGUAAUACAGCAUACUCGCGAUAACUAGGACCCUCGAAGGCCUGAAAAAAUCGGUUCCAGUAAGCUAAAGCCAGAUCUAAGAUGAUAAGACUCAUGCAUAGUCUGCUACUUACACCUGCCAUUUUUUUCUGUUUCUGAUACAUAUACAUAUAUAUACCAUUGUAGGAAUUUGUGCUUGUACUUACAUAUGUAGAACUUUUAUCUGUUAUCUUGUUAUGGUUGUAAGUUAUUAUUUUGGAGACCAGGGUCCAUUUAA